This 421-nucleotide ribosomal RNA is filed under the name uncultured archaeon. RNAcentral describes it as "partial 16S ribosomal RNA". It matches the Rfam family "Archaeal small subunit ribosomal RNA", at positions 323 to 746 of the family's 1478-position model. The record is from RNAcentral.
CUACGGGAGGCAGCAGUCGAGGAAAUUUUACAAUGCUCGCAAGAGUGAUAAAAUGAGCCAGAGUGUUUCUCCUAGAGAAACUUUUAUUUGUUGUAAAAAGACAGAUGAAUAAGGACUGGGCAAGACCGGUGCCAGCCGCCGCGGUAAUACCGGCGGUCCAAGUCGCAUCCACAAUUUAUUGAGUCUAAAACAUUCGUAGCUUGUUUCGCAAGUCUCUUGUGAAAUCCUAUAUCUCAAAUAUAGGGCGUGCAAGAGAUACUGUAUUACUAGAGACCGGAAGACGCAAAAAGUAUUGUUGAGGUAGCGGUAAAAUGUGUUAAUCUCAAUUAGACUAACAAUGGCGAAGGCAUUUUGCGAGUACGGAUCUGACAGUGAGGGAUGAAGGCUAGGGGCGCAAAAGGGAUUAGAUACCCUCGUAGUC